AGAGUUUGAUCCUGGCUCAGGACGAACGCUGGCGGCGUGCCUAAUACAUGCAAGUCAAACGCACGAAGUUGAAGAGCUUGCUCUUUAACCAAGUGAGUGGCGGACGGGUGAGUAACACGUGGGUAACCUGCCCAUUAGAGGGGGAUAACAUUCGGAAACGGAUGCUAAUACCGCAUAAUUUCAGGAAUCGCAUGAUUCGUGAAGGAAAGGUGGCUUCGGCUACCGCUAAUGGAUGGACCCGCGGCGUAUUAGCUAGUUGGUGAGGUAAUGGCUCACCAAGGCAAUGAUACGUAGCCGACCUGAGAGGGUGAUCGGCCACACUGGGACUGAGACACGGCCCAGACUCCUACGGGAGGCAGCAGUAGGGAAUCUUCCGCAAUGGACGAAAGUCUGACGGAGCAACGCCGCGUGAGUGAAGAAGGUUUUCGGAUCGUAAAACUCUGUUGUUAAAGAAGAACAAGGAUGAGAGUAACUGCUCAUCCCCUGACGGUAUUUAACCAGAAAGCCACGGCUAACUACGUGCCAGCAGCCGCGGUAAUACGUAGGUGGCAAGCGUUGUCCGGAUUUAUUGGGCGUAAAGCGAGCGCAGGCGGUUCUUUAAGUCUGACGUGAAAGCCCCCGGCUCAACCGGGGAGGGUCAUUGGAAACUGGAGAACUUGAGUGCAGAAGAGGAGAGUGGAAUUCCACGUGUAGCGGUGAAAUGCGUAGAUAUGUGGAGGAACACCAGUGGCGAAGGCGACUCUCUGGUC
Molecule: ribosomal RNA, 749 nt
Filed under: uncultured Carnobacterium sp.
Lineage: Bacteria; Bacillati; Bacillota; Bacilli; Lactobacillales; Carnobacteriaceae
Description: bacterial SSU rRNA
Rfam family: Bacterial small subunit ribosomal RNA
Source: RNAcentral